Molecule: ribosomal RNA, 649 nt
Filed under: Bacillus cereus
Lineage: Bacteria; Bacillati; Bacillota; Bacilli; Caryophanales; Bacillaceae
Description: partial 23S ribosomal RNA
Rfam family: Bacterial large subunit ribosomal RNA
Source: RNAcentral
GUUUGGUUAAGUUAGAAAGGGCGCACGGUGGAUGCCUUGACACUAGGAGUCGAUGAAGGACGGGACUAACGCCGAUAUGCUUCGGGGAGCUGUAAGUAAGCUUUGAUCCGAAGAUUUCCGAAUGGGGAAACCCACUAUACGUAAUGGUAUGGUAUCCUUAUCUGAAUACAUAGGGUAAGGAAGACAGACCCAGGAAACUGAAACAUCUAAGUACCUGGAGGAAGAGAAAGCAAAUGCGAUUUCCUGAGUAGCGGCGAGCGAAACGGAACAUAGCCCAAACCAAGAGGCUUGCCUCUUGGGGUUGUAGGACAUUCUAUACGGAGUUACAAAGGAACGAGGUAGACGAAGCGACCUGGAAAGGUCCGUCGUAGAGGGUAACAACCCCGUAGUCGAAACUUCGUUCUCUCUUGAAUGUAUCCUGAGUACGGCGGAACACGUGAAAUUCCGUCGGAAUCUGGGAGGACCAUCUCCCAAGGCUAAAUACUCCCUAGUGAUCGAUAGUGAACCAGUACCGUGAGGGAAAGGUGAAAAGCACCCCGGAAGGGGAGUGAAAGAGAUCCUGAAACCGUGUGCCUACAAAUAGUCAGAGCCCGUUAACGGGUGAUGGCGUGCCUUUUGUAGAAUGAACCGGCGAGUUACGAUCCCGUGC